ACAGCAACAGGAGCAGGAGCUUGCAAAGCAUAUCGCUGAGGAAGAUGAUGAUGAGUUCUAGUUGGUCGGCCCAUUUGGUUGUGUUCUGUUGUGUCUGUUACAGGGUUAAUUUGCUGAGGAUUUGUCUUUUGAAUUGCUGUCCUUGACGCGGUUUAUCAUACAGUUAAGUACAGGACAAAUCAGGUUAGCAUCUUCCCAGACUUUAAAUCGAGCUUGUGGUUUUGUUGAAUCUAUUUCAGAGUUGCUAAAAUUAUCUGAAGCAUGAAUGUGCAUCAAG
Molecule: unclassified non-coding RNA, 277 nt
Filed under: Hevea brasiliensis (rubber tree)
Lineage: Eukaryota; Viridiplantae; Streptophyta; Magnoliopsida; Malpighiales; Euphorbiaceae
Source: RNAcentral